RNAcentral lists this ribosomal RNA (305 nucleotides) under uncultured Pseudomonas sp. RNAcentral's name for it is "bacterial SSU rRNA". It matches the Rfam family "Bacterial small subunit ribosomal RNA", at positions 1075 to 1382 of the family's 1533-position model. Lineage: Bacteria; Pseudomonadati; Pseudomonadota; Gammaproteobacteria; Pseudomonadales; Pseudomonadaceae. The record is from RNAcentral.
UUGGGUUAAGUCCGUAACGAGCGCAACCCUUGUCCUUAGUUACCAGCACGUUAUGGUGGGCACUCUAAGGAGACUGCCGGUGACAACCGAGGAAGGUGGGGAUGACGUCAAGUCAUCAUGGCCCUUACGGCCUGGGCUACACACGUGCUACAAUGGUCGGUACAAAGGGUUGCCAAGCCGCGAGGUGGAGCUAAUCCCAUAAAACCGAUCGUAGUCCGGAUCGCAGUCUGCAACUCGACUGCGUGAAGUCGGAAUCGCUAGUAAUCGUGAAUCAGAAUGUCACGGCGAAUACGUUCCCGGGCCUU